Long non-coding RNA from Rhineura floridana, 406 nucleotides. RefSeq lists it as uncharacterized. NCBI's taxonomy places the organism in Eukaryota, Metazoa, Chordata, Lepidosauria, Squamata, Rhineuridae. The transcript is spliced from 3 exons. The record is from RefSeq and is a predicted model, not a curated record.
CUCGACGGUGCGGGCGCGGCGCAAGGACCUGGUAAGACGGUUGAGCUGCUCCAUGGCUCUCUCCAUGCUCGGGGGAACAGAGAAGCCGCCGCCUUCCUUGCCGCCAGCCCACAACUGCGGACUUUCCCAGCUCAGCCCAUCACCCAAGCAGCGGAGACGGCGACCGACUGGUAUAAGGAGAACGAGCUGGGCGAAGAGGACAAGAGGAAGAAUCACGGAGACAUUAUUCAGAAACUUGCCACAAGAUGUCAGUAUAAACGAAGUACAACAAAAUGGUUGUUUGAGUCAGAGCUAAAAGAGCUAUAAAAUGUGUACUUUGUCCUGCUAAAAUAUUAUAUUCUAGAGGAUGAAAACAACAGAAGGGAACCAUGACCACCCCAAGCAAGAAGGAAACACUUAAAAUACA